AGUGAAUGCUGGCGGUAGGCCUAACACAUGCAAGUCGAACGGCAGCACAGUAAGAGCUUGCUCUUACGGGUGGCGAGUGGCGGACGGGUGAGGAAUACAUCGGAAUCUACUUUUUCGUGGGGGAUAACGUAGGGAAACUUACGCUAAUACCGCAUACGACCUACGGGUGAAAGCAGGGGAUCUUCGGACCUUGCGCGAUUGAAUGAGCCGAUGUCGGAUUAGCUAGUUGGCGGGGUAAAGGCCCACUAAGGCGACGAUCCGUAGCUGGUCUGAGAGGAUGAUCAGCCACACUGGAACUGAGACACGGUCCAGACUCCUACGGGAGGCAGCAGUGGGGAAUAUUGGACAAUGGGCGCAAGCCUGAUCCAGCCAUACCGCGUGGGUGAAGAAGGCCUUCGGGUUGUAAAGCCCUUUUGUUGGGAAAGAAAAGCAGCAGGUUAAUACCCCGCUGUUCUGACGGUACCCAAAGAAUAAGCACCGGCUAACUUCGUG
RNAcentral lists this ribosomal RNA (492 nucleotides) under uncultured bacterium. RNAcentral describes it as "partial 16S ribosomal RNA". It matches the Rfam family "Bacterial small subunit ribosomal RNA", at positions 29 to 507 of the family's 1533-position model. The record is from RNAcentral.